CAGUAGCCGCGGGAAUACGGAGGGAGCUAGCGUUGUUCGGAAUCACUGGGCGUAAAGCGCACGUAGGCGGCUACUCAAGUCGGGGGUGAAAGCCCGGGGCUCAACCCCGGAACUGCCUUUGAAACUAGAUAGCUUGAAUCUUGGAGAGGCGAGUGGAAUUCCGAGUGUAGAGGUGAAAUUCGUAGAUAUUCGGAAGAACACCAGUGGCGAAGGCGACUCGCUGGACAAGUAUUGACGCUGAGGUGCGAAAGCGUGGGGAGCAAACAGGAUUAGAUACCCCUGUAGUCCCUGUCUCUUAUAA
This 301-nucleotide ribosomal RNA is filed under the name uncultured bacterium. RNAcentral's name for it is "partial 16S ribosomal RNA". It matches the Rfam family "Bacterial small subunit ribosomal RNA", at positions 509 to 809 of the family's 1533-position model. The record is from RNAcentral.